Gallus gallus (chicken) is the source of this 1408-nucleotide long non-coding RNA. Lineage: Eukaryota; Metazoa; Chordata; Aves; Galliformes; Phasianidae. The record is from Ensembl.
AGUAAAGCCUUGUGGAUGACAGUAGGUCCACUGGAAAAGCAAUUUCUCCUCCUUGUCCCUUCUGUUGAUUCUCUGCCACAGAUAAUUCAUUCAGCUCAGUUUUGAACAGUGUGUUUGGUUUCUUGAAUUUGUGUGUCAGUUACUUGCACCAGAAACACAAGCAGUAAUUAAACCUUGAUUGCAGAUGUCCUAAUGGUUACUUAGUGCCUGUUUCACACCUGUUGGAGUCUAGACAAAAACAAGCAGUGACAGACAAGAAUGUAUGUUGCUGUGCUACAGAAAGCAGGGAGAGAAAAUGGGUUUUAAACAAGACUUGUUUGGUGUCUUACAGCCAAUUAAAGCACAUAGCAGGCUCUCAGUAACAUCAGCUGUUCCUAGGAGGGCUGGGAGGCACUGCCAUUUGCUGGGGAAGAGUGGGAUUGUAAUGUUCCUGUCAGGAGCAGAUGGGACUUCAUGUUGUGCAACAGCUUGUGAUGUAUCUCAGUGCUGGUUGGGAUGUGCACUUCAUUAGGGUGCUUAAAAAAAAAAGUAGAAAGAAGAAAGCUUUGGGCCUGCUUUCCCCCACCCCGCAUUACCUGGAAUUUCCUGGAUAUUUGAUGACCAAACAAAUUACAGUCUGGAAAUGUGUGAUACUUGUGAUACAAUGGUGUUAUCAUGCUCCACUGGCUGUGGGCGGGGGAAGGAAAACUGCAGGCCACAAAUGCACACAAGGUCCAUUGAAACAACUGUCCUACCUUCUAAAAUCUGAGUUGUGAAGUAAAUACAGAGUGGACAUUGUUAUCUUCUCUUACUUUGUAUCACAAAGGCCCAGACCUCAUUCCUGGUGAAUUUCACCCCAUUCAGUGCUGCCCUGGUGUGAGGGAGUGAACAGAGCAGGAAGGUGCUGCAGUGGAGAAGGUCCCUUUACAAGCUAUGAUGAUUACUCUCAGCAAGCAUCAAGCAAGUUAAAACCCCUUUAUCGAAGUCUGUUAUGUGCUGUCGACAAGCUUCAGUCUAACAAGAAACCAGUUUUCCAGAAGCCUGCAGUCCCCUGCCUGUGAUCUCUAGAUGUCUCUGUUGCCCCAAUACCAGAACAUAUGAAAAAGGCAGGGUUAGCAGAACACUCGAUGGGCAGACAGAGCUUGCUGUUCCUCUUUAGAGAGUGAGGAAGACUGUUCUUCUACAUGAAACAUAUUAAUUACUGGUUCCCUGGGUGCUGGGAUAUCUCUUUUCUCAUGGAGCUGCCGGAUUUCUGUGUCAGUACUGUGUGUGGGAGAUGAAGUCCAGCAUCAGAGCCAGGCUAAAGAGGAGAUGGAGACCAGGAGGAUCUCUGCAUCGUAAAGGAAACACGCUGUAUGCUUCCAUACAAUACCACACCUCUAGAAGCCACACUGAAUUUAAGGAGAAACCCUUCUCUUUCCUGGGUUGC